This 72-nucleotide transfer RNA is filed under the name Candidatus Physcosoma equi. RNAcentral describes it as "tRNA-Lys". It matches the Rfam family "tRNA". Rfam says of the family: Transfer RNA (tRNA) molecules are approximately 80 nucleotides in length. Lineage: Bacteria; Pseudomonadati; Spirochaetota; Spirochaetia; Spirochaetales; Sphaerochaetaceae. The record is from RNAcentral.
GGGCCGCUAGCUCAGCUGGUAGAGCAACAGACUCUUAAUCUGUGGUCAAAGGUUCGAUCCCUUUGCGGCUCA